GGGGAGAAAUACUCGAUGUAUGGAUAGAUGUUCCUGGAGGAGCGAAUACAUUUCAAUGCGAUUUCCAUAGUACGCAGACACGAAUAUCCGAUUUACAACUAGCAUGGGGGUUGAGGAUUCUGUAUCUUUAUGAAACAUGGGCACGAUUCAUUGGCCAAUUCUUCCUUAUUUAAUCGCCAGAACAAAUGGAAAUAAAUAGUGAGGCGCAGACGGAUCUAGAGCGUCCCGUGAAAACCACCUUCGGAACAUCUCUCUGGGGCUACCGGCGUUCAAGUAGAAAUAUUUCCAGCGAAAGUUCUGUAAUGUUCCAAAGCAAGAAAAAGAGUGGAAUGGAUCAAAAUCGAGAAA
RNAcentral lists this small RNA (348 nucleotides) under Histoplasma capsulatum. Its description in RNAcentral is "hypothetical RNA". RNAcentral also lists the same sequence under 1 other name. The record is from RNAcentral. Lineage: Eukaryota; Fungi; Ascomycota; Eurotiomycetes; Onygenales; Ajellomycetaceae.